RNAcentral lists this ribosomal RNA (253 nucleotides) under uncultured bacterium. Its description in RNAcentral is "partial 16S ribosomal RNA". It matches the Rfam family "Bacterial small subunit ribosomal RNA", at positions 524 to 776 of the family's 1533-position model. The record is from RNAcentral.
UACAGAGGUCUCAAGCGUUGUUCGGAUUCAUUGGGCGUAAAGGGUGCGUAGGCGGCGCGGUAAGUCGGGUGUGAAAUCUUGGAGCUUAACUCCGAAACUGCAUUCGAUACUGCCGUGCUUGAGGACUGGAGAGGAGACUGGAAUUUACGGUGUAGCGGUGAAAUGCGUAGAUAUCAGGAGGAACACCGGUGGCGAAGGCGGGUCUCUGGGCCGUAACUGACGCUGAGGAGCGAAAGCGUGGGGAGCGAACAGG